UGUGCCUCUUCCGAUCGUAAACAAUAUCUCAUAUCAACAAGGGCGUGCUUGGCCAAGGGCAAUUUGAGAAUGGGUGACUGAUCGGAAAGUUUCUCCCAUGAGCGCAUGAGUGAGCACAAAGUGCGCUAGAAAGACAUGUGUUGGUAUGUGGGGCCAAUCUAGAAGAUUAGAGAGCUGCCAG
Molecule: long non-coding RNA, 181 nt
Organism: Brachypodium distachyon (stiff brome)
Lineage: Eukaryota; Viridiplantae; Streptophyta; Magnoliopsida; Poales; Poaceae
Exons: 3
Source: RefSeq, a predicted model, not a curated record